AUAAUACACGAAAAACCUUACCAAGGUUUGACAUCCCUCGCAAAGCUAUAGAAAUAUAGUAGAGGUUAUCGAGGUGACAGGUGGUGCAUGGCUGUCGUCAGCUCGUGUCUUGAGAUGUUUGGUUAAGUCCCGCAACGAGCGCAACCCCACUCUUUAGUUACUUGUCUAAAGAGACUGCACAGUAAUGUAGAGGAAGGAUGGGAUCACGUCAAGUCAUCAUGCCCCUUAUGCCUUGGGCUGCAAACGCGCUACAAUGGCGAACACAAUGUGUUGCAAACCAGCGAUGGUAAGCUAAUCACCAAAUUUCGUCUCAGUUCGGAUAGGAGGCUGCAAUUCGCCUCCUUGAAGUUGGAAUCACUAGUAAUCCC
RNAcentral lists this ribosomal RNA (368 nucleotides) under uncultured Mycoplasma sp. Its description in RNAcentral is "bacterial SSU rRNA". It matches the Rfam family "Bacterial small subunit ribosomal RNA", at positions 954 to 1345 of the family's 1533-position model. Lineage: Bacteria; Bacillati; Mycoplasmatota; Mollicutes; Mycoplasmatales; Mycoplasmataceae. The record is from RNAcentral.